CCACCAUUGCCCCGACCUGCGGGAAGGAUAAAAUAAUUCACUCUAGUACGAACAGCGUUACCAGAAACGUCCAGCACUGGUUCACCACCAUCUUCAGCCUUUAUGAAAAAAGAUGACGUUGUUGAUAAUUGAAAAAAAAAGAAAAGGUGUAGAUUGUCUUGAGAAUGGGUAAAAAAUACAUUUUUGCUAAAUGCAAAGCCACUACCGAUUCUGAUACUACUGGUAGCAAUAGAAAAAAAAGUUGAGGCAGUUGGAAAUGUCUCAAAAAGGAAGAAAAAUAAAGAGUCAGUUUCCGAAUCAGAUUCGGAGUUAAAAGAAAAAAGCGACUACGUCGAUUCCGGUGAAGAUGUUGCCAAACACAAUGCUAAUGGUGACAGUGAAGAGAGCGAAGAUAGUGAAAGAAACAGUGCUGAUGGGAUAAUGAUCCCUUGUCCAUGCCAUUUCUUUCAAGGUUCAUUUCCAUUGAGCGGUAGACCUUCGAACGAUAAUGGACGAGGUUGGAUCUUUCCCGGCAAAGAUAUCGGUCAAAUCAAGAAUGGCUGUUUAUCGAGAUUUCCAGCAAGUUCUUGUCGACCAAGAGUUAAAGAAAAGAUUCAAGCUGUCCUGUUUUGGACACCUAAGAAACCUGUCGGAACAUCUCAAGUUCAAUGGGCAGUUGGUCCAUUAUUUGUUGUUGCGACGCGUCAAGAAUGAUACGAUGCAUCACGAGAUGUGGUUCUGUGUUAAUAACAAGCCUGCAUGUUUUGACUUGAAAGAGUUUUGUUUGAUCACGGGGCUGAACUGCUCAUCAUACCCCAGUGAAUAAAAAAUGAAGAGAGCAUUAGCAAAGGGGGAGAAUUUUUGCUUUAAGGUGACGAAAAACAAAAACAUUACGGCAGCCAAUUUGCUACACCUGAUCAGAGGGAAUAAGCUGAACGAGGACCAGAAGUUUAAGUGUUGUUUACUGUGGUUCUUGCACACCAUGUUGCUUGCAAAAGAUUCGACGAAGGUCGUGGACAUGAAACUAAUUCGAAUGGUAGAUUCUUUGAGUUUCUUCGAGAAUUAUCCGUGGGGGAAAGAGACAUUUCAACUGACCCUGGCUAUCUAAAGAAGUAAAGUGACCUGAAGAAGCAGAGGAAAGUAUUUGAUGAGAAGCAGAAGGCAUCCUAUGCUCUAUUCAGAUUUCCCUGGGCAUUCAUGGUUUGGAUCUACGAGGUCUUUCCUCAUCUUGGAAAUUUUUUUAAAAAAUCAAUGGAUGAACCCUUUCCCACUCCCUGCAUCAGAUGGCACACUAAAAAAAAUGACCAAAUAAUCGAAGGCGACUUAUUCAAGUACAAAGGAAAAAUUACCGAGGUAUGAACUCAUUUUUUAUUAUGAAAUAAUAAUACUAUUGUAAAUUAAUAUUUUGUAGCGCGUGCACCCCUACAUCAUCCCUACUCUUCGUGAGACGAAGAAGGAUUACAUGAUUUCCUUUGAGCCAUAUACGGACGAGGUGAAAAAUAACGUCCUUGAUGGAUGAAACAAAGAGUUAGAAGGGGUGACUGUACUUACUUCAAAUGAGGACAGUGAUGAUGGCGGGGAUUUGGGCGGUAACCCCGUUGAAGUACGCGUUGGUGAUGAUGAUACUCCGAGCACCUCCAAAGAUGCAGCGGGCACUUCAUCCUCUGGGGAUCUUCAUAAGCGUAUUGUUGUACUCGAGGAAGCGAUGUUGGAUAUUGUUGCUUAUAUUAGAGAGAAAAGAUUGAAGAAAAAGGAACGAGAUGAGCGACAACACGAGCAAGUGAAUGUGGAUCUUCGUGAAUCGGAGAGGAAUGAAGAAGGAGAAAAAGGGUGCAAAAUGGAUGAGUUGGCCUCUGUUGUGGUGAGAGAGGAAAAAGAAGAAUAAAAGAAGGAUAAAGAAGAACAUAUGUGCAAAGAAGAAAGUCCAAAAGAAGCAGUUGCAUCAGAAGCUGAUAAAGAAGCAGCAGUAGAUAUUGAGAAAAAAGGAGAAGAAGGUGAAGAAGCACCAGCCGAAGAAGUACUAGCUGCUGUAGAUGCUAAAAUAGAAGGAGAAGAAGGCAAGCAUGAAGAAGCAGCCGAACCUACUGACAAAAAAGGAGCUGAAGCUCACCUAAAAGAUUUGGUCAUGGAUAUCGUAGGUGAAAUCAAUAGUAGCAUUUGUAUUGAUGAUGAAGACAGGGAAAAAGACAUUUGAAUGUUAAUAUUGUUAAUGUGUUGUUGAAUGAUUGGUAGUUAGGAUCGGACAAAUAUUUUUUUAUUAGAAAUAUUAUUUUAUUUUAUGGUAGUGGUUAUGAUUCUGCACUGAAUCUAUCUCUAUCAAACUGAUUAGUGGUAUUUCCAUUU
Molecule: long non-coding RNA, 2322 nt
Organism: Capsicum annuum
Lineage: Eukaryota; Viridiplantae; Streptophyta; Magnoliopsida; Solanales; Solanaceae
Exons: 4
Source: RefSeq, a predicted model, not a curated record